GCCAUAACCAUGAUACGAACAUCUGUCAGGCUCCCCUUUCGAGCUCUCUAACCCAGGCAGUACAAAAGCGGAAUAUUUUUUCUCUUACCAUUUUGAUGAAGAAGAGGAAAAGCAGUUAAUAGUUUCAGAACCUGAGGCAGAAAAUCCUUGACUGACCUGAAGACAUUUAGUCGAGUGGCAAGCGUGUAACAUAAAGAAAAACACAGCAAUCUCCACUGGUGCAGUAAAACCAUGGGCAAGUCGGGGAGUAAAGUUCUCAUAGAAACCUCUGUGGAUGGGGUUCAAGCAC
Molecule: long non-coding RNA, 289 nt
Organism: Oreochromis aureus
Lineage: Eukaryota; Metazoa; Chordata; Actinopteri; Cichliformes; Cichlidae
Exons: 3
Source: RefSeq, a predicted model, not a curated record